Molecule: ribosomal RNA, 1221 nt
Filed under: Candidatus Phytoplasma cynodontis
Lineage: Bacteria; Bacillati; Mycoplasmatota; Mollicutes; Acholeplasmatales; Acholeplasmataceae
Description: bacterial SSU rRNA
Rfam family: Bacterial small subunit ribosomal RNA
Source: RNAcentral
AGACUGGAUAGGAAAUAAAAAGGCAUCUUUUUAUUUUUAAAAGACCUUUUUCGGAAGGUAUGCUUAAAGAGGGGCUUGCGUCACAUUAGUUAGUUGGCAGGGUAAAGGCCUACCAAGACUAUGAUGUGUAGCUGGACUGAGAGGUUGAACAGCCACAUUGGGACUGAGACACGGCCCAAACUCCUACGGGAGGCAGCAGUAGGGAAUUUUCGGCAAUGGAGGAAACUCUGACCGAGCAACGCCGCGUGAACGAUGAAGUAUUUCGGUAUGUAAAGUUCUUUUAUUGAAGAAGAAAAAAUAGUGGAAAAACUAUCUUGACGAUAUUCAAUGAAUAAGCCCCGGCAAACUAUGUGCCAGCAGCCGCGGUAAUACAUAGGGGGCGAGCGUUAUCCGGAAUUAUUGGGCGUAAAGGGUGCGUAGGCGGUUUAAUAAGUCUAUAGUUUAAUUUCAGUGCUUAACACUGUCCUGCUAUAGAAACUAUUAGACUAGAGUGAGAUAGAGGCAAGUGGAAUUCCAUGUGUAGCGGUAAAAUGCGUAAAUAUAUGGAGGAACACCAGAGGCGUAGGCGGCUUGCUGGGUCUUUACUGACGCUGAGGCACGAAAGCGUGGGGAGCAAACAGGAUUAGAUACCCUGGUAGUCCACGCCGUAAACGAUGAGUACUAAGUGUCGGGAUUACUCGGUACUGAAGUUAACACAUUAAGUACUCCGCCUGAGUAGUACGUACGCAAGUAUGAAACUUAAAGGAAUUGACGGGACUCCGCACAAGCGGUGGAUCAUGUUGUUUAAUUCGAAGAUACACGAAAAACCUUACCAGGUCUUGACAUACUCUGCAAAGCUAUAGCAAUAUAGUGGAGGUUAUCAGGGAUACAGGUGGUGCAUGGUUGUCGUCAGCUCGUGUCGUGAGAUGUUAGGUUAAGUCCUAAAACGAGCGCAACCCUUGUCAUUAGUUGCCAGCAUGUCAUGAUGGGCACUUUAAUGAGACUGCCAAUGAAAAAUUGGAGGAAGGUGAGGAUCACGUCAAAUCAUCAUGCCCCUUAUGAUCUGGGCUACAAACGUGAUACAAUGGCUGUUACAAAGAGUAGCUGAAACGCAAGUUUAUAGCCAAUCUCAUAAAAGCAGUCUCAGUUCGGAUUGAAGUCUGCAACUCGACUUCAUGAAGUUGGAAUCGCUAGUAAUCGCGAAUCAGCAUGUCGCGGUGAAUACGUUCUCGGGGUUUGUAC